UUGGAGGGCAAGUCUGGUGCCAGCAGCCGCGGUAAUUCCAGCUCCAAUAGCGUAUAUUAAAGUUGUUGCAGUUAAAAAGCUCGUAGUUGAAUUUCGGGGUUAGUAGGUUGGUCAUGCCUCUGGUAUGUACUGGUCUCACUGAUUCCUCCUUCCUGAUGAGCCGUAAUGCCAUUAAUUUGGUGUUGCGGGGAAUUUGGACUGUUACUUUGAAAAAAUUAGAGUGUUUAAAGCAAGCUAACGCUUGAAUACAUUAGCAUGGAAUAAUGAAAUAGGACGUUCGAUCCUAUUUUGUUGGUUUCUAGGAUUGACGUAAUGAUUAAUAGGGAUAGUUGGGGGCAUUAGUAUUCAAUUGUCAGAGGUGAAAUUCUUGGAUUUAUUGAAGACUAACUACUGCGAAAGCAUUUGCCAAGGAUGUUUUCAUUAAUCAAGAACGAAAGUUAGGGGAUCGAAGACGAUCAGAUACCGUCGUAGUCUUAACCAUAAACUAUGCCGACUAGGGAUCGGAUGAUGUUAAUUUUUUAAUGGCUCAUUCGGCGCCUUACGGGAAAC
This 549-nucleotide ribosomal RNA is filed under the name uncultured Glomeromycotina. Its description in RNAcentral is "SSU rRNA". It matches the Rfam family "Eukaryotic small subunit ribosomal RNA", at positions 548 to 1098 of the family's 1831-position model. Lineage: Eukaryota; Fungi; Glomeromycota. The record is from RNAcentral.